RNAcentral lists this ribosomal RNA (253 nucleotides) under uncultured bacterium. Its description in RNAcentral is "partial 16S ribosomal RNA". It matches the Rfam family "Bacterial small subunit ribosomal RNA", at positions 524 to 776 of the family's 1533-position model. The record is from RNAcentral.
UACAGAGGUCUCAAGCGUUGUUCGGAUUCAUUGGGCGCAAAGGGUGUGUAGGUGGCGCCGUAAGUCGGGUGUGAAAUCCCGGAGCUCAACUCCGGAACUGCACUUGAUACUGCCUUGCUCGAGUACUGAAGAGGAGACUGGAAUUUACGGUGUAGCAGUGAAAUGCGUAGAUAUCGUAAGGAAGACCAGUGGCGAAGGCGAGUCUCUGGACAGUUACUGACGCUGAGGCACGAAGGCCAGGGGAGCAAACGGG